AGCAGCCGCGGUAAUUCCAGCUCCAAUAGCGUAUAUUAAAGUUGUUGCAGUUAAAAAGCUCGUAGUUGAAUUUCGGGAUCAAUUAAUUGGUCGUGCCUCUGGUACGUACUGAUUUUAUUGGUUUCUCCCUUCUGACGAACCAUGAUGUCAUUAAUUUGGUGUCGUGAAGAAUCAGGACUGUUACUUUGAAAAAUUAGAGUGUUUAAAGCAAGCUAACGCUUGAAUACACUAGCAUGGAAUAAUGAAAUAGGACGUUUGAUUCUAUUUUGUUGGUUUCUAGGAUCGACGUAAUGAUUAAUAGGGAUAGUUGGGGGCAUUAGUAUUCAAUUGUCAGAGGUGAAAUUCUUGGAUUUAUUGAAGACUAACUACUGCGAAAGCAUUUGCCAAGGAUGUUUUCAUUAAUCAAGAACGAAAGUUAGGGGAUCGAAGACGAUCAGAUACCGUCGUAGUCUUAACCAUAAACUAUGCCGACUAGGGAUCGG
RNAcentral lists this ribosomal RNA (482 nucleotides) under uncultured Glomus. RNAcentral describes it as "SSU rRNA". It matches the Rfam family "Eukaryotic small subunit ribosomal RNA", at positions 569 to 1056 of the family's 1831-position model. Lineage: Eukaryota; Fungi; Glomeromycota; Glomeromycetes; Glomerales; Glomeraceae. The record is from RNAcentral.